UGAGGAAUAUUGCCCAAUGGGGGAAACCCUGAGGCAGCAACGCCGCGUGAACGAUGACGGCCUUCGGGUUGUAAAGUUCUUUUCUGGGGGAAGAUGAUGACGGUACCCCAGGAAUAAGUCCCGGCUAACUACGUGCCAGCAGCCGCGGUAAAACGUAGGGGGCGAGCGUUAUCCGGAUUUACUGGGCGUAAAGCGCACGCAGGCGGCUGAUCAAGUUGGACGUGAAAGCUCCCGGCUUAACUGGGAGAGGUCGUACAAAACUGAUCGGCUCGAGGCUGAGAGAGGAGAGCAGAAUUCCCGGUGUAGUGGUGGAAUGCGUAGAUAUCGGGAGGAAUACCAGUGGCGAAGGCGGCUCUCUGGCUCAGAACUGACGCUGAGGUGCGAAAGCGUGGGGAGCGAACGGGAUUAGAUACCCCGGUAGUUCACGCCGUAAACGAUGGGAUACUGGGCGUAGGGGGUAAUCGAACCCCCCUGUGCCGAAGCCAACGCGAUAAGUAUCCCGCCUGGGGACUACGGCCGC
Molecule: ribosomal RNA, 520 nt
Filed under: uncultured bacterium
Lineage: Bacteria
Description: bacterial SSU rRNA
Rfam family: Bacterial small subunit ribosomal RNA
Source: RNAcentral